AUAAAAAUCCAUACAUUCAUUCAAACAUUAUUAAUCCAAUAUUACAUUCAAACAAAUUUCAUCCAACAUCACAAAUUUCAUCGAACAUUUGAAUCUUCAUUCAAACAUUAUUAAUCCAAUAUUACAUUCAAACAAAUUUAAUCCAACAUCACAAAUUUCAUCCAACAUUUGAACUUAUUAUUCAUCAAACUAGAAUAUGGUGAAGAACGUCCCUCUAACGCAGGAGAUCAACGAGAACAUAUCCAAGGACACCUUCAUGUAUUCCGGUCUCUCCUCCGAUUGCUCCACCAUCCGCGACUCGAUCACUUCUAGUAGCCGCUGCAUUAACAAGAACAGCUUUGUAAGCUUGGUAUUAAAAAAAUGCAGCAGAAAAUAAGAAAAAGGAAUUGAAGAAAAGAGAACACUCUAUCAAGCAUUCUGUCGAACAUCUAGCGGCAAACUACACAAGCGAUUUCUCAAAGCUAUAAAGAAGAUGAAUCGCCAAGAAUAUAACACCAAAAGCUACCAGCAGAAGAAAAUCAGGAGAAGAAUGAUUAGGAUGCAGAUUUUCGUCUGAGUUUGAAGGAAAUAUGAGCUUUAACACCCUUUUAUAAUAGUAGUCUCCGGCGCCUUAUCGCAGUACCUCGGCACCUCCACCUCUCCGCGCGGCUUCCUCCACUUCAACCACCCCAAGGCCACCAGAUCUGUGCUGCUCUCUUUCCCUACGCAAACAAAAAGACCGAGAACUGAGUUAACAUACUCGCAAUCGGAAGAGUGGAAUCGUAGAUUGAAGCUACCUUGAGUGACAGCAUCGCCGAUGAGGCUGUACCAAGGCAGACGGACGGCGGCGGCCGCGACUCUGCUGCUGUCGGUUGAAGAUUUGAAGGGGAGAACGAGCGGUGGCGGCGGCCGAAGGAUUCUGUGGGAGCCGUGAUUGGGGCUAGGGCUCAGACGGCGGAGGCUCUCACCGUCGCCGAUCUAAGUCAGAGGGGUAAAGGAGAUGAGGCGGUUAUGCCGCCGAGAGAGAGAAGGGAGAGCCUGGCGUGUCAGCGGCUUAUCGCCGUUGCUUUGCCGGGAAGGACGAGCGGCGGCACCCACGCCGCUGAUUUGAGUGCGGAUCUGGGUGUGUGCGUUGGGUGUGAGAAGAGCGGCGGCACCCACGCCGCGAUGGAGCUGCCGGGCUCCGACGAUGGCGCAAAGUGGCUGUGGCGGCGGGACCUAGGGCUGAGAGAGAGGGAUGAAAUUCUGAGAGAGAGAUAGUGAGAUGGGAGGGGGCGCAGGAGAGAUAAGGGGAAUAGGGUUGGAGUUGGGUUUGUGUUGGGUUUAAAUGUUUAAUAUGGGUAUAAAAUGUUAAUGAAGAGAAAAAAAUAAAAUAUUUUUAAUUUUGUUUUUUCAUAAUUUAUUUAUUUUUUAUGAUUUUUAUACCAUAUUAAAUAUUUUUUCAUUAACUUAAAUUUAAGAUGUAGUAUUAAGUAUUUUUUUAUGAAUUAAAUUUGAUGAUGUUCUUAAAAAAAAUUAAAGAAAAAAAUAGUAAAAAA
Molecule: long non-coding RNA, 1517 nt
Filed under: Salvia miltiorrhiza (redroot sage)
Lineage: Eukaryota; Viridiplantae; Streptophyta; Magnoliopsida; Lamiales; Lamiaceae
Description: long non-coding RNA (SMIL_LNC008363)
Source: RNAcentral